AACUUUGGACAAUGGAUCUCUUGGCUCUCGCAUCGAUGAAGAACGCAGCGAAAUGCGAUAAGUAAUGUGAAUUGCGGAAUUCAGUGAAUCAUCGAAUCUUUGAACGCACCUUGCGCCCCUUGGUAUUCCGAGGGGCAUGCCUGUUUGAGUGUCUUGAAAUCAUCAAACCUAACCGGUCUUGUUGCCGGCGCGGUUUGGGCUUGGGGGUUCUUUGCUGCCGCUCGCGGUGGCUCCCCUUAAAUGUAUCGGUCGGGCUUUCGUGCGGCUCUGUCCCUUGGCGUUGUAUUCCCCUCGUCGCUGGAUGGCCCGCGAUUCUGCGCCCCUCCCUUACCUGCCUCUGGAGUGGCGGUCUCUAACAGUUUGUGAUCUGACCUCAAAUCAGGUAGGACUACCCGCUGAACUUAAGCAUAUCAAUAAGCGGAGGCU
This 426-nucleotide unclassified non-coding RNA is filed under the name uncultured Trechisporales. RNAcentral describes it as "sequence contains ITS2". The stretch from base 1 to 154 matches the Rfam family "5.8S ribosomal RNA". Lineage: Eukaryota; Fungi; Basidiomycota; Agaricomycetes; Trechisporales. The record is from RNAcentral.